RNAcentral lists this ribosomal RNA (492 nucleotides) under uncultured bacterium. Its description in RNAcentral is "partial 16S ribosomal RNA". It matches the Rfam family "Bacterial small subunit ribosomal RNA", at positions 29 to 507 of the family's 1533-position model. The record is from RNAcentral.
AGUGAACGCUGGCGGUAGGCCUAACACAUGCAAGUCGAACGGCAGCACAGUAAGAGCUUGCUCUUACGGGUGGCGAGUGGCGGACGGGUGAGGAAUACAUCGGAAUCUACUUUUUCGUGGGGGAUAACGUAGGGAAACUUACGCUAAUACCGCAUACGACCUACGGGUGAAAGCAGGGGAUCUUCGGACCUUGCGCGAUUGAAUGAGCCGAUGUCGGAUUAGCUAGUUGGCGGGGUAAAGGCCCACCAAGGCGACGAUCCGUAGCUGGUCUGAGAGGAUGAUCAGCCACACUGGAACUUAGACACGGUCCAGACUCCUACGGGAGGCAGCAGUGGGGAAUAUUGGACAAUGGGCGCAAGCCUGAUCCAGCCAUACCGCGUGGGUGAAGAAGGCCUUCGGGUUGUAAAGCCCUUUUGUUGGGAAAGAAAAGCAGCAGGUUAAUACCCCGCUGUUCUGACGGUACCCAAAGAAUAAGCAUCGGCUAACUUCGUG